This 776-nucleotide ribosomal RNA is filed under the name uncultured marine bacterium. RNAcentral's name for it is "bacterial SSU rRNA". It matches the Rfam family "Bacterial small subunit ribosomal RNA", at positions 60 to 884 of the family's 1533-position model. The record is from RNAcentral.
AGUCGAACGAAGUAGCAAUACUUAGUGGCAGACGGGUGAGUAACAUGUGGGUAUCUGCCCUUUGGCCUGGAAUAACACGAGGAAACUUGUGCUAAUACCGGAUAAGUCUUUACAGAGAAAGCUUUAUGCACCAUUGGAUGAGCCCGCACUUGAUUAGUUUGUUGGUAGGGUAAUGGCCUACCAAGACUGUGAUCAAUAGCUGAUUUGAGAGGAUGAUCAGCCACAUUGGGACUGAGACACGGCCCAAACUCCUACGGGAGGCAGCAGUGGGGAAUCUUGCACAAUGGAGGAAACUCUGAUGCAGCGAUGCCGCGUGAGUGAAGAAGGCCCUUGGGUUGUAAAGCUCUUUCGUCGGGGAAGAAAAUGACUGUACCCGAAUAAGAAGGUCCAGCUAACUUCGUGCCAGCAGCCGCGGUAAUACGAAGGGACCUAGCGUAGUUCGGAAUUACUGGGCUUAAAGAGUUCGUAGGUGGUUGAAAAAGUUGGUGGUGAAAUCCCAGAGCUUAACUCUGGAACUGCCAUCAAAACUUUUCAGCUAGAGUUUGAUAGAGGAAAGCAGAAUUUCUAGUGUAGAGGUGAAAUUUGCAGAUAUUAGAAAGAAUACCAAUUGCGAAGGCAGCUUUCUGGAUCAUUACUGACACUGAGGAACGAAAGCAUGGGUAGCGAAGAGGAUUAGAUACCCUCGUAGUCCAUGCCGUAAACGAUGUGUGUUAGACGUUGGAUAUUUAUUUUCAGUGUCGCAGCGAAAGCGAUAAACACACCGCCUGGGGAGUACG